This 384-nucleotide ribosomal RNA is filed under the name uncultured bacterium. RNAcentral describes it as "bacterial SSU rRNA". It matches the Rfam family "Archaeal small subunit ribosomal RNA", at positions 339 to 727 of the family's 1478-position model. The record is from RNAcentral.
GCGCGAAAACUUUACAAUGCGGGCAACCGUGAUAAGGAAACCCCGAGUGCCAGCAUAGGCUGGCUGUCCACCAGUGUAAACAGCUGGUGAAGAAAGGGCCGGGCAAGACCGGUGCCAGCCGCCGCGGUAAUACCGGCGGCUCGAGUGGUGGCCGCUAUUACUGGGCUUAAAGGGUCCGUAGCUGGAUUUACAAGUCCCUUGAGAAAUCCGCCGGCUUAACUGGCGGGCGUUCAGGGGAAACUGUAAUUCUAGGGACCGGGAGAGGUGAGAGGUACUGCCGGGGUAGGAGUGAAAUCCUGUAAUCCCGGUGGGACCACCAAUGGCGAAGGCAUCUCACCAGAACGGGUCCGACAGUGAGGGACGAAAGCUGGGGGAGCAAACCGG